Long non-coding RNA from Esox lucius (northern pike), 979 nucleotides. RefSeq lists it as uncharacterized. NCBI's taxonomy places the organism in Eukaryota, Metazoa, Chordata, Actinopteri, Esociformes, Esocidae. The record is from RefSeq and is a predicted model, not a curated record. The transcript is spliced from 3 exons.
CAAUCGCCAACUGUGGUCCUCAUCUCUAAUGCAAGCUAGACACUCUUAUGCAUCUUCAGACAGUUUGACCAGUCCGACAACUGCCUCCCCAUCAAACAAUACUUCUGCAGUUCAGUCUUUUGCCUCAUCAUUUGGAUGUGAAGUGUUCUCCAUUCAUACUCCAGCCUUGUCCUACCAAAUCUCACCUAACACCACCAUUUCAGCAAGCGGUUCUUCUAAUCAACUACCAGUAUGUCCUUCCUACAGUCAGCCUUCUACCUUACCAUUUGGAGGAACAACUUCAGUUGAUCCAACCCUGGUCCUGACUUGGCCAAACAGUACAAGUUCACCCAAAGUAGCACUUCAGCAAGUCAUUCCUCUGAGUUACCCUCUACCUCAACACACCAUCAAGCAACAAACUAUGAUAACUACCUUUCAGUAAUGUCUGUACUGUCUGAUCUUUCCUCUGAUGAGGAGGAACUGAACCAGGCUAUACUAGCAAGCUUGCAUAGUGAAAGGACCACAGGAUGUUGGAUGCCAGCAAGAGAUAUCUUGCAACAAAAAUAACCCAACAGAAGAGAUGCAAGUUUAACAUUAACCGAUCAACAGUCUUGGAUGGAGCCAUCAGAGGUUUUAAACGAGCGACAUAUGAUCCAUACCACACUAUUUCUGUCAGAUUUUCUGAUGAUAUGGGAGUACCUGAAGAGGCUGUGGACUUGGGUGGACCAAAAAGGGAAUUUCUAACACUGCUUAUGGAAGCUUUGCCCAGAUCUCAAAUGUUUGAGGGAGAAGAAGGCAAAAUGAACUUGUCCUUUGACAGUACUGCCAUGAGAGAGGACCGGUACUUCAAUGCAGGCAGGGCCAUCGCAGUAAGCCUUGUACACAGUGGACCUCCCGCAGGCUUUUUGUCCCCAACCCUCUUCUCUUGCCUUGUUGACAGCCCAGAAUUGGCAAAGCCAGUAUUAGCAGAUGUUGCAGAUAGUGACCUACGUGACAAAAU